AAAAUGACCAAUGGAGCAUAAUUUAUAACGAACUCGUUUAUUAACAUAAAAACCUUUACUGUCCACUUACCUCGGCGAGAUCCAUGAAAACAACAUAUGAAAACAAUAACCUUAUAAUAUCAUGAAAUCAUACACACUUUAUAACAUAACACAUAUCAUGCCUUUACAUUUCAAUCAUCAGAAAAUAGAUUUCCUCUUUUACCAGCCUACUAGUAUCCCUGGGGAUCCAUAGGAGAUCCCCACUACACGUGAACUAUUAACAUUUACAACUUGAUUCCAGGGCCAUCCCCAUACCCCGUCCGGUAUGGGCGCCAAAACCAUGAACCUCAAUACCCCGUCCGGUAUGAGGGUGAACGGGCCGUCCCCAUACCUUGUCCGGUAUGGGCACUAAAACACAUAAGGUCUCCAUACCCCGUCUGGUAUGAGAGACCACGUUCCCGGUAGGGUUCCCUACAGACCCGGUCCGUCCACCAUCUCCUAGGAUAUCUAGUCAGGCUGUCCACAUUUUCCACUUAUCAAUUCACAUAACAUUUUUGCCUUUUUCCUUAAUCUCAAUCAUCCAAUCAUACACAACAUAUAAACCAGUAAUUGACACCAAAUAAGACAAUACAGUACUAGGUUCACCAUAAUACAAACCAUAAUAAAAGAAACCAUAGUUCAU
This 661-nucleotide long non-coding RNA is filed under the name Carica papaya (papaya). Its description in RNAcentral is "long non-coding RNA (CPAP_LNC002333)". The record is from RNAcentral. Lineage: Eukaryota; Viridiplantae; Streptophyta; Magnoliopsida; Brassicales; Caricaceae.